This is a long non-coding RNA of Oreochromis niloticus (Nile tilapia), 594 nucleotides long. RefSeq lists it as uncharacterized. Lineage: Eukaryota; Metazoa; Chordata; Actinopteri; Cichliformes; Cichlidae. The transcript is spliced from 3 exons. The record is from RefSeq and is a predicted model, not a curated record.
CAGUGGAUACACUUGUCUCCCCUUUAAAGGAGAUACUCUUAGAGAGAGACGAUCCGAGUCAUCAUAAAAUAUGGGCAGGAUAUCAGUCUUGGACUGUCUAACCUGCAGGAGCAGCAUUGAAUGAUCACCACACAUGAGCAUGUUCCUGCAACAUUCAGCAUCUGAUCCUUCAUCUGUGUGCUGCUGCUUUUGUGUCAAUUGUCCAACAGCUGGAGAGGAAAAUACACCAGUAUACUGGGAUGUUUCAUCAACAUGUGCCAGACGCUGUUCCUUCAUGGUGACAUCACCAGAGACAGCCCCGCCCACCUCAGGACCCAUUGAUCAUGAGGAUUAUAAUGAUGACAGCGAGCGGAACUAAGACUGUAAAAAUCCACGACCAGAAUGUUUAGAUGCUUUCUAAUUAUUAAUGAAUACUGAGUUUUUGUCUCUCUCUUUUUUUUUUUUACCUCAUUUGUUACUAACAAAGUUCACCAAACUCACACAGUUUACAUUCUUUAUGUUUCCAUCUUUACCAGCCACAGUCUGCCUGCAAUUAAGAAAAUAAUCCUUAGAAAUCGUCGUUUUUCUCUUUUGUAAUUGAUGAUAAUUCAGUAA